This 465-nucleotide ribosomal RNA is filed under the name Vreelandella stevensii. RNAcentral's name for it is "partial 16S ribosomal RNA". It matches the Rfam family "Bacterial small subunit ribosomal RNA", at positions 338 to 795 of the family's 1533-position model. Lineage: Bacteria; Pseudomonadati; Pseudomonadota; Gammaproteobacteria; Oceanospirillales; Halomonadaceae. The record is from RNAcentral.
CCUACGGGGUGCAGCAGUGGGGAAUAUUGGACAUUGGGCGAAAGCCUGAUCCAGCCAUGCCGCGUGUGUGAAGAAGGCCUUCGGGUUGUAAAGCACUUUCAGUGGGGAAGAAAGCCUUGGGGCUAAUACCCUCGAGGAAGGACAUCACCCACAGAAGAAGCACCGGCUAACUCCGUGCCAGCAGCCGCGGUAAUACGGAGGGUGCGAGCGUUAAUCGGAAUUACUGGGCGUAAAGCGCGCGUAGGCGGUCUGAUAAGCCGGUUGUGAAAGCCCCGGGCUCAACCUGGGAACGGCAUCCGGAACUGUCAGGCUAGAGUGCAGGAGAGGAAGGUAGAAUUCCCGGUGUAGCGGUGAAAUGCGUAGAGAUCGGGAGGAAUUCCAGUGGCGAAGGCGGCCUUCUGGACUGACACUGACGCUGAGGUGCGAAAGCGUGGGUAGCAAACAGGAUUAGAUACCCGAGUAGUC